GUCACGACAGUCUUAAUUGGUGGAAUCUUUCCCUCCUCUCCAAGGUAAAUGAUGUUCCCACAGUAAUGGCAAGGCUUCUAUUUUUGCUGUACACAUAAAAAAUGCAUGAUGGCAAUAUGGAGAUAUGAGGACCGAGAAAGAAAAAAGAGACAUUGGAUAAGAAAUUUUUAAAGAAAAAUGUUUCAUUCCACUAUAAAGUCUUUUGUUACAAAA
This 213-nucleotide long non-coding RNA is filed under the name Elaeis guineensis (African oil palm). RNAcentral's name for it is "long non-coding RNA (EGUI_LNC032283)". The record is from RNAcentral. Lineage: Eukaryota; Viridiplantae; Streptophyta; Magnoliopsida; Arecales; Arecaceae.